GCUCUUUCAUCAGAACCUAGUACUUGAAACAAAUUUAAGGAGAACCAAUGUUCUGUUGACUGGCCAUAAUUAGGCCUUCUUCCUAUUGAAGACCAGACCUACCUCUCUUUUUCAAAAAUUUUGAAUUUAAUCAACCAACAAUUUUAUUUCAUCAACAUGUCUGUAAGUCUCUCCUUCUCUGUUCUAUGUAUGUAUAAUUUUGGAAUGAGACUGUGGAUGAAAUAAUAUUAUGUUAUGCAGAUGGUGGAGGUAAGAGUUCUAAACUUUGGAUUGUGAAGGAUGUGCUGAAUUGCCGUAGUUCUCGGGUGUUUGACACUAAUUUCAGUGUAGAUCAGCAUAGCAGAAGUCAUCAAACACGAUACUAAAUUAUAUAAACAAACGACAUCAGAUUUUUCGUGGGCAACAGGUUAAGCUACAGAUAAAGAAGACAUAAUAAUACUGAAGAGGGAAAAACAUAUUGCCUGGAGAAAUUUGAGCGGAGAAACAACCGAAAUCAUAUGUGAGCACAGAGAAUUUUUUCGCUGCUUCUGCGAGAUUAUGAUUUGUGUAUUUCGAAUACCAUUCUGUCUUUUUACUGUUACCUACUUUUGCGAGAUUUCCUUAGGUUUUUUUAUUUGGAAGAAUUGUAGUUGGAAAACAGAUCCUUUUACCUUAUUGAAACAAAAUUGUAGGGUUUUUU
Molecule: long non-coding RNA, 679 nt
Filed under: Nicotiana benthamiana
Lineage: Eukaryota; Viridiplantae; Streptophyta; Magnoliopsida; Solanales; Solanaceae
Description: long non-coding RNA (NBEN_LNC028913)
Source: RNAcentral